GUGUGAUUGCCCCAUCCAGGUAAACACCGUGAUCAAACAAACCUGUUCUGUCAACUGGGUGACUACUCAGCUAUCGGGAAAUAACGACGAUUGCCUUAAAUCAAUUGGAAGGGUAGAGAAAUGCACGUACAGUACCAGUCAAAAGUUUGGACACACCGACUCAUUCCAGGGUUUUUCUUUAUUUUUACUAUUUCCUACAUUGUAGAAUAGUGAAGAUAUCAGAAGUAUGAUUGUUUUAAUUAACUAGGCAAGCCAGUUAAGAAUAAAUUCUUAUUUACAAUGAUAGCCGUUAACAGUGGGUUAACUGCCUUGUUCAGGGGCAGAAUGACAGAUUUUUUACCUUGUCAGCUCGGGGAUUUGAUCUAGCAGCCUACGACAUCAAUACUAUGAAAUAACACAUAUGGAAUCAUGUAGUAACCAAAAAAGUGUUAAACAAUUCAAAAUAUAUAUUUUUUUUAGAUUCUUCAAAGUAGCCGCCCUUUGCCUUGAUGACAGUUUUGCACACGUGGCACUCUCUCAACCAGCUUCAUGAGGACAAUGACCCAAAACACACCUCCAGGCUGUUUAAGGGCUAUUUCACCAAGAAGGAGAGUGAUGGAGUGCUGCAUCAGAUGACCUGACCUCAACCCAAUUGAGAUGGUUUGGGAUGAGUUGGACCACAGAGUGAAGGAAAAGCAGCCAACAAGUGCUUGGCAUAUGUGGGAACUACUUCAAGACUGUUGGGAAAGCAUUCCAGGUGAAGCUGGUUGAGAGAAUGCCAAGAGUGUGCAAAGCUGUCAUCAAGGCAAAGGGUGGUUUCUUUGAAGAAUCUCAAAUAUAAAAUAUAUUUAGAUUUGUUUAACACUUUUUUUGCUUACUACAUGUGUUAUUUCAUAAUAUUGAUGUUUUCACUAUUAUUCUACAAUGUAGAAAAUAGUAAAAAAUAAAGAAAAACCCUUGAAUGAGAAGGUGUCCAAACUUUUGACUGGUACUGUAUGUUUACAUUUAAUGCAAUAUGUAUGCAUGCUGACUAUGAGACAUAUCAACACAUUUUUUGUAACCUACUGUACUUCAUGAUCAUGCUAAAGUUCUGCUCCAGAUUAGAGCCCAUGGGGCGACAUUCUGAAGUUCUGCUCCAGAUUAGAGACCAUAGGAUGAC
Long non-coding RNA from Oncorhynchus tshawytscha (Chinook salmon), 1138 nucleotides. The record is from Ensembl. NCBI's taxonomy places the organism in Eukaryota, Metazoa, Chordata, Actinopteri, Salmoniformes, Salmonidae.